RNAcentral lists this ribosomal RNA (234 nucleotides) under uncultured bacterium. Its description in RNAcentral is "partial 16S ribosomal RNA". It matches the Rfam family "Bacterial small subunit ribosomal RNA", at positions 15 to 229 of the family's 1533-position model. The record is from RNAcentral.
GAUCAUGGCUCAGGAUGAACGCUGACGGCGUGCUUAACACGUGCAAGUCGAGCGAAGCAAUUUAAGUGAAGUUUUCGGAUUGGAUCUUUAGAUUGACUGAGCGGCGGACGGGUGAGUAACGCGUGGAUAACCUGCCUCACACAGGGGGAUAACAGUUAGAAAUGACUGCUAAUACCGCAUAAGCGCACGGUACCGCAUGGUGCAGUGUGAAAAACUCCGGUGGUGUGAGAUGGA